UACGUAGGGGGCAAGCGUUGUCCGGAUUUAUUGGGCGUAAAGAGCGUGUAGGCGGCCUGGAAGGUCAGCUGUGAAAACUCGAGGCUCAACCUCGAGACGUCGGUUGAAACCACCUGGCUAGAGUCCGGAAGAGGAGUGUGGAAUUCCCGGUGUAGCGGUGAAAUGCGCAGAUAUCGGGAAGAACACCCGUGGCGAAGGCGGCUCUCUGGUACGUGACUGACGCUGAGACGCGAAAGCGUGGGGAGCAAACAGG
This 253-nucleotide ribosomal RNA is filed under the name uncultured bacterium. RNAcentral's name for it is "partial 16S ribosomal RNA". It matches the Rfam family "Bacterial small subunit ribosomal RNA", at positions 524 to 776 of the family's 1533-position model. The record is from RNAcentral.